RNAcentral lists this unclassified non-coding RNA (520 nucleotides) under uncultured Glomus. Its description in RNAcentral is "SSU rRNA". It matches the Rfam family "Eukaryotic small subunit ribosomal RNA", at positions 569 to 1091 of the family's 1831-position model. The record is from RNAcentral. Lineage: Eukaryota; Fungi; Glomeromycota; Glomeromycetes; Glomerales; Glomeraceae.
GGCAGCCGCGGUAAUUCCAGCUCCAAUAGCGUAUAUUAAAGUUGCUGCAGUUAAAAAGCUCGUAGUUGAAUUUCGGGACCAUCAUGUCGGUCGUGCCUCGGUACGUACUGGCAUUGUUGGUUUCUACCUUCUGACGAACCAUGAUGUCAUUUAUUUAGUGUCGUGGGAAAUCAGGACUGUUACUUUGAAAAAAUUAGAGUGUUUAAAGCAGGCUCACGCUUGAAUACAUUAGCAUGGAAUAAUGAAAUAGGACGUUUGAUUCUAUUUUGUUGGUUUCUAGGAUCGACGUAAUGAUUAAUAGGGAUAGUUGGGGGCAUUAGUAUUCAAUUGUCAGAGGUGAAAUUCUUGGAUUUAUUGAAGACUAACUACUGCGAAAGCAUUUGCCAAGGAUGUUUUCAUUAAUCAAGAACGAAAGUUAGGGGAUCGAAGACGAUCAGAUACCGUCGUAGUCUUAACCAUAAACUAUGCCGACUAGGGAUCGGAUGAUGUUAAUUUUUUAAUGACUCAUUCGGCGCCUUAC